GAUUUAUGACAGCUUAGAAUUCCUGGCCAGCUUCAACAAUGGUCGUCAUUACGUCUGGCAAAUGAUGACAAAUGGACUGCCAUGCUUCAGCUGUCAGCUGUCUGCAUGCGGCACUGGCAUCAUCUAGCGGUUGUUUUUACAAUUCAGACGAUUGUCCAGUGUGCCGCUAGAUGGUGUUGGUAUUGUUUUUUAAAUGGCGAAAUGUGUGAUCGAAUCAGUGAAUGUGUUUUCGAAUUUUCAUGUUUUACUGCCCAAAAUCAACUAAUUAUUUACAUAAAAUGUACCUGCCGUCUAGUCAUCAGAUUAAAUUUGGACCUCAAAAGAUGUUUACACCUUUAAACACUUUUGGUGGGGUUGUUGCGUCAUGAAAUUGUAUUGCUGCCAUUCCCUGCAUCUCCCACUUCAUAGCUACAAGAAACAAGUAAUAGGAAGCCUACAACAGAUUGAGGAAUUCAUAGGUUGUGUCAUUGUGUGGUAUGCCAUUGGAUCCAUUGGAUUUUGCGAGUCAGCCGCCGAUGUCAAUCUACAACGCAGUUUCUUUAUUGGAAUUGUGUGGUCCUGGCAUUGAGAUCCUUGAUGCUGGCCUUUGUCCAUUACAGAAGAGUGACUUCUACCAACUCUCUGCUCCAUCCUUAUCUUCGCUACCCACACUCAUCUAGCUUCUCUGCUUAUUAUGCUGCUUAACAAUUUGCUUCACUGACGAGUUAGACCAGUCGCUUCCGUCCGCCUGUCACUCUCCACGGAAUCAUGCCCAGGAAAUGCAGAUGAAACGUCGAGAAGAUGGAAUUCCGAGACUCGUCAUCAACGUGGAUCAUCGCGACCGGCACCGAGACUCAGACUCGUCAUCCACGUAGAUCAUCGUAUUGUUGGUAUCAUUUCGUUAUGUGUUAGUUAACCCGUUGUCUGCCACGCCUUUGUUCUCCCCUACCUCCUUAGCACGGGCCUCCUAGAGGCCUCCUAUAGCCGUGCAUUCCAUCUUCUCCUGUCACCGUGUCAGCCCGGACUUGUCAGCAAUGGCAAGUCCCUCCUUGGUCACGGAUCCUUCUG
Molecule: long non-coding RNA, 1047 nt
Organism: Daphnia pulex (common water flea)
Lineage: Eukaryota; Metazoa; Arthropoda; Branchiopoda; Diplostraca; Daphniidae
Exons: 5
Source: RefSeq, a predicted model, not a curated record